GCGCGAAAACUUUACAAUGCUGGCAACAGCGAUAAAGGAACCUCGAGUGCCAGGUUACAAAUCUGGCUGUCGAGAUGCCUAAAAAGCAUUUCAUAGCAAGGGCCGGGCAAGACCGGUGCCAGCCGCCGCGGUAACACCGGCGGCUCGGGUGGUAACCGUGAGUAUUGGGUCUAAAGGGUCUGUAGCCGGCCGGAUAAGUCUCUUGCGAAAUCUGGCAGCUUAACUGUCAGGCUUUCAGGAGAUACUGUCUGGCUCGAGGCCGGGAGAGGUGAGAGGUACUUCAGGGGUAGGGGUGAAAUCUUGUAAUCCUUGAAGGACCACCAGUGGCGAAGGCGGCUCACCAGAACGGACCUGACGGCAAGGGGCGAAAGCUAGGGGCACGAACC
RNAcentral lists this ribosomal RNA (386 nucleotides) under uncultured prokaryote. Its description in RNAcentral is "bacterial SSU rRNA". It matches the Rfam family "Archaeal small subunit ribosomal RNA", at positions 339 to 725 of the family's 1478-position model. The record is from RNAcentral.